UUAGUGGUCCAGUGGUGGUUGAACUAUCUCGCUCUCUGCCCCUUCUUCGGGAGGUCAAGGGUUCGAGGGCCACCGCUGGCAGAUGUUGCUCUUGAGGGUCUUCGGGCCCAAUACGGACACUUCACACGCGCGCGGCCACUGGUCCAAUUACAUGUGGCUGGCCAGCACCUCUGGAUGACCCUCGGCGGGCUCCGGCGGCUCCUACGGGGGUUCACCGGACGGUCUUUGGGCGCUAGUCGGAGUCUUACGGGUCAUCCGGACACCAGAGUCAUCAAAAAAAAAAAAAAAUGUAUGUUGCCAAUGGAAACGUUCCACCUUUGAUUUUGUUCUACUAAAAAGAACGUAAUUAAAUACAUCUCUAUAUGAAUGUGAUUUAAGAAUAAUUGAUCACUUUUUAAUCAACCUAAUGAUUUAUUGUCUCCCAGACUCCUAUCUCCUAAAGACUACGUAUUAAGAGGAUUCUUUUUGUUAAAAUUUGAAGUUCAUCAAAAAUAUACUAUACCCACAAUUUGUUGGAACGUAGUCUUUUAGAGUUCUAAAAUUGUGGUAAUAUUACCAAAUUAACAAAAAAAUACCCCUAAUUAAUGAAGCCAUAGUGCAAGAACUCAAUCCGUCGGUUUGAAUCUGGUUCGAACUAAACUGGGCUGUUCUUUAAUGGUUAAACUUGUUUGAUAGUUAGUUCAAACCAUUUACAUUAGUACGUAACUAGAGGUAUUGGUUGGUUACUUGGUUUAACACUUUAACUCAUAGGCAAACACUGAGCUGGCCCACCUCCCGUAUCUUUUUCACUUCAUGCUUUAAAUAGAAGAAUCUUUUACAAUAACAGAAUCUCAAUUUUUAUCAUGGUUACUAGGCCUGGGUUCGCGGGUCAACCAGCCCUGCACGACCCGCCAACCCGCGGAACAUUUCUUUUUUUUUAGUUAAAAUUUCAACCCGCUCAACCCGCAAAGAAAUAAACUAAUACCCGCACCCGUCCCGUUUUAUUUUGCGGGUAACCCGCGGGACCCGCGGGUUAUAUUUUUAAUUAAAAAAAUAAUUAUUUAAUUAGUUUUUCUAUAAAAUAAUAUAUUUAUAAGUAAUUUUUUAUAUUAUUUUUUAAAAAUUUAAUUAUUUUUGUUUAAAAUAAAUUAUUUUUCUAAAAAAAUCGAAUUUUUCAAAAAAAAAAAGAUUUUUUUAUUUUUUAUUUUAUUUUGCGGGUUGGCGGGUAUCCGCAAAUCAAAAUCCACCAACCCGCACCCGCCCCGCAAAAAAUAGUCUUAACCCGCACCCGCACCCGCGACUUGAUUUUUUCAAAACGCUCGACCCGCACCCGCCCCGCGGCGGGUCAAAUGGGGCGGGCCCCGCGGGCUUUGAUUUAAAUUCCCACUUUUCGAUUGUGGUCCUAAGCGAAUAUAUAUGUAAAUCUAGGACCGGGUCCGGAUACCGUAGCAUAUCAGUUGCUCUGGACACUGUAUCAGAUCACUGAUUCAAAUAUGUUAGAAUGCGUGAGUUGUAGAUGACAAACAUUAUUUUUGUACGUACGUUUUAAAUUUGACUUUUUUUGUAUGGACUGCGUCUGCAUGGCUCUUAAGUUUUUUUUUUUUUUGUGUAGAACAUGGCUCUUAAGUUUCAACCAAAUAUAAUAUAACAUACAAAACAAUAAAAUCCAAUUUUAAACCUUUUUUGCAUAUAAGACAGCCACCAUCCCUUCAUGUCUGGUAAUUAUUGGCUUUUUGAAAGGUUGAUUUGUUCUGUUUCUUAGCAUUUUAAUGGUUUACAUUGAUUCGUUACCUCAUUCUCUUUUGGGGGCUGGUAACAAAGUUCAACUGGUUGCUUAGUUGACAUCUAAACAUAUAUUGUAUAGUAAUGCAAACCUAAUUAAUGUGAUUUGCAAUUCUCUUUUCGUACACAGUUUUUCUUUGGAAAAUAUGUAAUUAUAUAUGCUUAAAACCGAACCCGGUUCAUAAGGACCAGUUGAAGGUAGCUCUUUGCGACCAGUUAAAAUGGCUAUAUAUGACUGGGUAUAACGAGGACCAGAUAUGGAAUCUCUUCAGCCAUUCCAUAUGAUAAAGUGCUUUAAGCUUUGUUUGUCUCAUUGGCACACCGAUUUAUUUUAGUUAACACCUUAACAUUAUAGCGAAUAUUGAAAUUUAUCUAGCAUGCAUGAGAUGUUAAUGUGACACCAGCUUGCCUAAUAAAUGUUUCUCCAAUUAAAUUAUUUUAUGAAUGGACCCCGAUAGUGUUCCAUGUAUGUAAUGAUUUAAUGUAGACCUUUAGACAAAAUCAAAAUAAAAAACUUUAAUCGGGUUUAGAUGUUGCCAGAAAUCAUAGUCUAUGUACUGACAAUUCAGCACUAGUUUCCUGUUUUUAGAGGUAAAUCUAGGGGUGUUCAAUCCGGAUAUUGGUUCGGUUUCGGUUUGGUUUUUGUGGUUUUUUGGUAUUUCGGUUAGUAAAAUAUAACUACCAUUCUAAAUCCAUAUUUAUUUUGGUUCGGUUCGGUUUAUAUACCAUCGAUUUUCGGUUUAUUCGGUUUUAUACCAAAACAUAAUUAUUUAGUUUGAGAUCAUAUUAUAUAAAUUUUAGAGUCAUAUUGUCAUCGCAGUCAUUUAUUAAAAAAAUAUUAUAUUUUCAAAUAAAAGAACAAAAAAAAACGCUUAUACUUUCAGAUGAAAUAAUCAAAUCUAGAAUUAAAAUCAAAGCUCGAAAUUUUGAAAAAAAAGAAGUAUGAAAGAAAAGUUUUUCCUCUUCCAUAUUUAAUGUUCAUCGAAGUCAUGCUUCUUCGAGUGAAACUAUGUUCGUUUAUAAAAGAAAAAAGUUGUGAAGAAUUUUUUCAAGUUAUUAUCCAUCAAAUUUAUAACCUUCACUUCAAUUUAAUCAAUGCAAAAAGAAAACUUCAAUUUAAUCAAUGCUAAAAGAAAGCAAAAUGAUUAAAAUAAAAAGACUAAGAAAAUAAGAAGCCUCAAUUGCAAUGAAUUAUUAUUUAAUUAUAUUUUGAAGUGUUUUUCAAAUCAGGAUUCUUUAUUACUAUAAGAAAUAUGGUAAUACUUAUUAACAAAAGAAUAUAACAAAUAGAUUUCAUGUGACGUUAUAAAAUAUGUACAUAUUUACAUGUUUAUACUUUUGAUCGGUUUUGUUCGGUUUAUUCGGUUUAAUCGGUUAUAAACCAAACCAUAUCCAUAUUCUACGGUUUUUAUAAAAUCAUAUCCUUUCGGUUUUAUGGUAUAUACCAAAACCACACCAUAUUGUCUAUUUCGGUUUGGUUCGGUUUGGUACGGUUCGAUUUUACCAUAUUGGACAGGCCUAGGUAAACCUUCUAAAAUGUGUUUUGAGGAUUUAUACCAAUUGUAAUUGGCUAUUGUUUGUGGGUUCCCACGUCUGCUUUUGGCUCAUGAAUUCUCUUUUCGUCUGAUGGUCGAUACAUCGUUCUCAGAGCAUCUCCCCGAAAAAAAAUCUAUAAUUUCUAAUAUAGAUUUUUGUUCUCUAAAAAUAAACUUCGAAACUUCAAAUUUAAAGUUUUAAGAGCAUCUCCAAAAAAACUCUCAAUUUUAAAGUUUGCAAAACUCUAUAUUUUAAGUUUUAAGGGAUUCUUCUCUAAAAGUAAAACUUCAAACUUAACUUCAAUAUUAUUUGUAUUUUACUCUAUGGUUCUUAUAUUUUACUCCAUCUGUUUCAUAUUAAGUAUCAUUUUGACCUUGUGCACACAGAUUAAGGAAACAAUUAAUUUUGUAUAUUUCCUAUAUAAAAACACAAUUACCUACAAACCUAACCAUAUUUCAACCAAUAGAAAAAUAAAUUACUGCAUAAAAUUAAUAAAUUUUGCAUUGAAAAUCAAAAACGACACUUAUUUUGUAACGAAAAAAUUUCUCUACAACGACACUUAAUAUGAAACGGAGGGAGUACAUAAUUAAUGUAAAUCCAUAAAACUUUUAUAAAUAACUAGUACAUAUAAAAAUUAUUACAACAAUAUUAAUUAAUAAAAUCUUAUACUAAAAAUUAUAAACAUAAAUACAUAAUUAAAUAUUAAAUUACAAGUAAAAUACCAUAUUAUUCUAUAAAACUAUUUUCGUAGUAUUCCAUCUUCAUGUACUUUUUAAGAAAGUUCUUUUUAUUAAGUUUUUUUUAUAAAGUUUUUUUAUAAUAUUCUUGUUGUCUAAUUCUAAUUUAAAAUAGUAUAAAUCUUAUUUUAAAAUUUUUAUAUUAUUUUAUCUGUAAAUUUUGCUUUUAUUAAAUAAAUAUGAAAUAUUUAUGAGAUAUAAAAAAUUUAAGGAUUAAAAAAAGGUGAUUUGCCAAAAAUUACUCAAAACUUGAUUUGAAUACAAAAGUGUACCCCAAAUUCAAUCAAAUGCAAAAGUAACCCAAAAGCCUAGUGAAAUUACAACAGCCCCCUUAUGAACAAACAAAAAAUUUGUAUUCAAUUUUACCAUUAUAACUCUCUGUUAGAGAAGACUUCUUUGUAAGUCUUCUCGUUCAGUAGAUCUUAAAAAGAACUUUAUAAUUUUAUAAAAAAUAUUCUGAUGGUAAAAAAUUGAAAUCAAGUAAUAAUAAACAUUUCUCAAUGAUGUAAAUUUAGUUCAUCUGAAAUUGAAUUAUUUUCAACAUAGAUGAGUGAAUGUAUAUUGGCUCAUGAGUCAUUGGUUUAGGGUUUGGUAACAUAUGUUAUAGUAUUGUAUGUAUCUUUAUGGUUAGAUUAUGAAAUUUUACCUUCAUUUUUUUCUUUUUCAAAUUGACCCAUAUAUGUUUAGUAACUAUCUAAUAACUUGAUUUAAACACGUUCUAAGUUUUUUUUUUAAGUUUAAGAAAAUAUUUUUUGCGUAGUUAAUUAAUUUUAGGGUCUGGAAGACUCACAGAAGACUUAAAAAGAAGUCUUAAGACACAUCUCGCCUAAAUUUUAGUAGAAUUUAUGGUUCCCCCUAAAUUUUGGAAUAAUUUAGGUUUUCCGCCUAAAUCAAGUCUUCCAUAAGUUUUCCAGGAGUCUUCCAUAAGUCUUUCAGGAGUCUUCCAUAAGUCUUCCAGAAGUCUUCAAGAGAAAGUCUUCUCAUGUAUUAGAUCUUAAUAAUAAUUUAAUUUUUUUAUAAAAAAAUAUUUUCAUGGCUUAAAAUUUGAAAUCAUGUAAUAAUAAACAUUUUUCAAUGAUGUAAAUUUAGUUUAUCAGAAGUUGAAUUAUAAACCGCGCGUUAGUGGUCCAGUGGUGGUUGAACUAUCUCGCUCUCUGCCCCUUCUUCGGGAGGUCAAGGGUUCGAGGGCCACCGCUGGCAGAUGUUGCUCUUGAGGGUCUUCGGGCCCAAUACGGACACUUCACACGCGCGCGGCCACUGGUCCAAUUACAUGUGGCUGGCCAGCACCUCUGGAUGACCCUCGGCGGGCUCCGGCGGCUCCUACGGGGGUUCACCGGACGGUCUUUGGGCGCUAGUCGGAGUCUUACGGGUCAUCCGGACACCAGAGU
RNAcentral lists this long non-coding RNA (5422 nucleotides) under Brassica napus (rape). RNAcentral's name for it is "long non-coding RNA (BNAP_LNC019459)". The record is from RNAcentral. Lineage: Eukaryota; Viridiplantae; Streptophyta; Magnoliopsida; Brassicales; Brassicaceae.